AUUGAACGCUGGCGGCAGGCCUAACACAUGCAAGUCGAACGAGUGGCGGACGGGUGAGUAAUGUCUGGGAAACUGCCUGAUGGAGGGGGAUAACUACUGGAAACGGUAGCUAAUACCGCAUACCAUCAGAUGUGCCCAGAUGGGAUUAGCUUGUUGGUGGGGUAACGGCUCACCAAGGCGACGAGCCCUAGCUGGUCUGAGAGGAUGACCAGCCACACUGGAACUUAGACCCGGUCCAGAGUCCUCCGGGAGGAAGAAAUGGGAAAAAUUGAACAAUGGGCGCAAGCCUGAUGAAGCAAUGCCGGGUGGAUGAAGAAGGCCUUCGGGUUGUAAAGUACUUUCAGCGGGGAGGCGUUACCCGCAGAAGAAGCACCGGCUAACUCCGUGCCAGCAGCCGCGGUAAUUC
Molecule: ribosomal RNA, 406 nt
Filed under: uncultured bacterium
Lineage: Bacteria
Description: partial 16S ribosomal RNA
Rfam family: Bacterial small subunit ribosomal RNA
Source: RNAcentral